Molecule: long non-coding RNA, 1022 nt
Organism: Populus trichocarpa (black cottonwood)
Lineage: Eukaryota; Viridiplantae; Streptophyta; Magnoliopsida; Malpighiales; Salicaceae
Exons: 3
Source: RefSeq, a predicted model, not a curated record
UCCUUGUAUUGCAAGAUAAGUCACUAGACAUUGUUUGUCAUUUGGAUGCUAAAAACACCUUUUUUCUUGGAGGUUUUUUUUUUAGCAUAGAGGAAAGAUUGUUUAUGUUGUUGAAUUUAGUAUUCUGGUGUUCUGCACUUGCUGGGAUUCUGUUCUUGGUUGGAUCGCUGCUAUUAAGUACAAAUUUGCUAGACUCAACAGUCAACACUACUUGGCACUGAUUUAUCUCAUCUAUUAUCAUUUUCUUUUAAAUUUGCACAGGAGAUUCUUGAUCAACUUGUGGAGAUUGAUUUGGCUGUGGGUUUUAGAUGCACUGAUGAUUACUUGGUGAAACAACAACAAGCAGGUGCCUGGAAACAGAAGCUCCAAGCUUAUGCUGAACAGGCCACUAGAAGAUUGUUACCAGAAACGGAAAAGGCUUCUUGACUUUCAAGUAGGCAGUGCACCUGCAGAGAAUUGGCAAGGGCUGUUAGCUGCACUACAUCUACAACACACAAAUACUGUAUAUUCUUCAAAGAAACUGGCUGUAAGAUCUAGCUUGCUCUAAAACUCUUAUCACCCAUUAUUAGUUUAGGUAUCGACUUUACUGUAAACACAAGUGCUGUGAAUAGCGUAACUAGGAGGAUUUUCCGUAGCGAAUGAUAUGGGAAGUGCAAGUUUGCACGUACUCUUUUGCUUUCUAAUUGAGCGUACUGAAGCAGUGUGAUGAUUCAAAUCUGUAAAUAUGUAGUCUUUCACUGUUUAAUAUGAGAAGAUCAAUAUUCUUGUGGAAUCACGGAUAUGUGCAGUACAUUACUGGUUUGGUUUUCAACUUUCCAUGGAGCUCUAAACUCCAGAGUGUAUGACAGAAAAGGCCUUUCCCGCCUCGACAAUAGAAUGAAACCCCUGGGGAAAUUUGUCCACGUUAAACUCACCAUCGGUAAAUUUAGCAGGGUCAAAACUCAAUUGCUGUAAAGCCAUUAUAUUAAAUUGUAAGCAUCAUGGGAUUGCCUUGCCUGUUAUAAUAACCUGUUAGAUCUCUA